UUUGAGAUACCCAUGUGCUUUUGUAUUACAGGUUUCCUGUGUUUUUUCCAGGUUGAAGCUUUAGUGAUGAAAAGGCAACACAGUAUAGUAUUCCAGGCUGGCAAGACACCUCUUGAAUGGAAAGCCUGCAUCUCUUGGUGUCAGAUGCUGUACAGAAGAUUGCUUAAGCUGAGCUAUCUGGGAAGUUACCCUCACAAUUUCCUGAGAGAAAUAACGUGGUUUCAGUAAAAGUUUAGGACAAAGCCAAAUGGAGUUUCAAAUGGGAUUAAACAGCGAUUCUUCAGCUGUCACCCAUGGCCCACCUUAAGGUCUGGUAAAGCAAGCUGGGUAGUACAGAUACACAGGCCCUAGAGACAGUUGAAGGCUGAGCCAAAAUAUUUUGCCAGGACUGCAAUAGAAAUGGCCAGGCAUUUCAGCUGGGAACAGGCUUGAUCUGCUAUCCUAAACAGAGAGGACCCAUGGUUUUCCUGCAUGGUUGAUGGAAAGCAAAAUCUGCAUGGCAUCCCUGGCAGGGCUGGGGGGAGCCACAGCAGCAGUCAGAAGAGGGAAACCCAGAUUUCUCCACUGACUCCAAAACCAGAGCUAAUUGCAGGAAAGGGCAAGGUGUGAAUGGAAAGCAUGCUGUGCUGCUGCACCCCAGCAAGCCCUGACAUGCUGGGGUGGGCAAGGCUCCUAGACAGGAGCCCAGCAUCACCCUCAGGUCUGCUGCUCAGUGGAGCACUCACAGCUCCCUGGUGACCGGCUGGGAGAGGCUCAAGGAACUCUGAUUCGGCAGCCUUCCCAUGCUUCAUCAGGCAAAGUCUGUGUCUUGGGAAUGGCUGUUGUGCGGAGUUAUUGCAGGGCUUAGGAGUGUUUGCUGUGGCUUGUGCUCCCUGCUGUGCCUGCUGCUGUCAACGAUGAAU
Pezoporus flaviventris is the source of this 902-nucleotide long non-coding RNA. RefSeq lists it as uncharacterized. The record is from RefSeq and is a predicted model, not a curated record. The transcript has 3 exons. NCBI's taxonomy places the organism in Eukaryota, Metazoa, Chordata, Aves, Psittaciformes, Psittacidae.